GGCGGACGGGUGAGGAACACGUAGGAACCUGCCCUCAAGCGGGGGAUAACCAAUGGAAACGUUGGCUAAUACCGCAUAAUCUCGGAAGAGAAAAGCUACCCGCAAGGGCGGCACUUGAGGAGGGGCCUGCGUCCGAUUAGCUAGUUGGUGAGGUAAUAGCUCACCAAGGCGAUGAUCGGUAACUGGUCUGAGAGGACGACCAGUCACACUGGGACUGAGACACGGCCCAGACUCCUACGGGAGGCAGCAGUGGGGAAUAUUGGACAAUGGGGGCAACCCUGAUCCAGCGAUGCCGCGUGAGUGAAGAAGGCCCUCGGGUCGUAAAGCUCUUUAGGUUGGGAAGAAGUGCAUUAGGUUCAUAGCCUAGUGUGUUGACGGUACCGACAGAAUAAGCACCGGCAAACUCUGUGCCAGCAGCCGCGGUAAUACAGAGGGUGCAAGCGUUAAUCGGAGUUACUGGGCGUAAAGGGCGCGUAGGCGGAUAUAUGUGUGUGAUGUGAAAGCCCCGGGCUUA
Molecule: ribosomal RNA, 514 nt
Filed under: uncultured Coxiellaceae bacterium
Lineage: Bacteria; Pseudomonadati; Pseudomonadota; Gammaproteobacteria; Legionellales; Coxiellaceae
Description: bacterial SSU rRNA
Rfam family: Bacterial small subunit ribosomal RNA
Source: RNAcentral